CCAGCCACUACAGAAUACAAUCAGAAAAGCAACCCAAAAGAACACAGGAAUGCCUGCCUUUGGAGUUCUGCUAAGACGUAUCCAAUUAUUCAGCAAAAGUUUGUAAAUGACUUGUUUACCUGUGGGUUAGAAAAAGUGUUUUAAUAAUACUUAAUGAAGAAACUACGAUGGUGUUUCAGAUGUUAAUUUUCAGUUCAGCAUCAGAAGAAAAUGAUGCAUCUCUGAAAGAUUCUUAAUCUGCAAGGAUGAUAAAAAUGAAGAGAAAGAGAAGUCAUCACAGUUGUGCAGCUUUUCAGAAGAUUUCAGUACUUAGGGUAAAAUUAUCCUCUCAGAUCUGCAAGGCAAAAGCCACUGAUGUCACCAGAGCUACACCAGUACAGAGGGCAAACCUGAGCGCUACCAGGCAGAUUGAAGAGGAGAAUUUUUUCCAUUAGGAACUUUCACAUAGAAAGAAACUUGAAACUGAAAGAUUAAAAACACUUUAUUGACAUGUAAAUUACGAUUACUCAUGCCUGUGGUUAAUGUAUGCCUAUAUAUCAUCCUUUCUAUGUGUUUGGGUAUUCUAUCAGGGUAUUUGUGGGAGAAUUGAUUUGAUUAGUGAUGUGAUUAUGAUAUAAUUUGUUUUGUUUAUAGAGGUAAUUUUCUCUAUAGCACUAUGUUUUAAUGUUGC
Mauremys reevesii (Reeves's turtle) is the source of this 670-nucleotide long non-coding RNA. RefSeq lists it as uncharacterized. The record is from RefSeq and is a predicted model, not a curated record. Lineage: Eukaryota; Metazoa; Chordata; Testudines; Geoemydidae. The transcript has 4 exons.